UCCUUCAUAGUGUAACGGCUAACAUAUGUCGCUUUCAUUCCGAUGACCGACAAGCUCCGGGUUCGAUUCCCGGUGAGGGAA
Molecule: non-coding RNA, 81 nt
Organism: Cercophora sp. LCS_1
Lineage: Eukaryota; Fungi; Ascomycota; Sordariomycetes; Sordariales; Lasiosphaeriaceae
Source: the annotation of a GenBank genome assembly